Long non-coding RNA from Symphalangus syndactylus (siamang), 484 nucleotides. RefSeq lists it as uncharacterized. Lineage: Eukaryota; Metazoa; Chordata; Mammalia; Primates; Hylobatidae. The record is from RefSeq and is a predicted model, not a curated record.
UAGAAGUUGGGCAAGCAGUCUAAGCAUGCGCACUAAGAGGCAAAAUGGCGGCGUUUAACUGGUAUAUGACCUUCCUCUAGGAACACUCAGCUGGUAAGGGAAAAAAACGCCUCAAGUGAGCAUGCGCACAACUUCAGUAAACACACUGCACGCAGCCCCUUCCAAGUGCUGACGGGCCACUGUGCAUGCGGACAGCCCGCUCCGAAGGAAGAAUCAGGGGAGAAGAAAUGCAAGCCCAAAAACCCUGCCAAGGUAUAAAACCCCAGUCAAGGACCGGAUGGGGCACUGGAUCUCUCAAGUCACCCACUUGGUCCUCUGCUGCAAGGAGACGAACUGUGCCCAUAACCUGAAGAAGCCUGGAAGUGGAUCAUUCCUCUCAGAGCCUUCACAUAAGAAUGCCACCUGGUUGCAUCUUCAUUUCAGCCUUGUGAGACCCUAAACAGAGGACCUAAACUGUCCCCAGACUCCUGACCUCCUGACUGAC